UAACGGCCGCGGUACCCUAA
RNAcentral lists this microRNA (20 nucleotides) under Homo sapiens (human). RNAcentral's name for it is "hsa-miR-4485-3p". Lineage: Eukaryota; Metazoa; Chordata; Mammalia; Primates; Hominidae. The record is from miRBase by way of RNAcentral.